Molecule: ribosomal RNA, 253 nt
Filed under: uncultured bacterium
Lineage: Bacteria
Description: partial 16S ribosomal RNA
Rfam family: Bacterial small subunit ribosomal RNA
Source: RNAcentral
UACGGAGGGUGCAAGCGUUAUCCGGAUUCACUGGGUUUAAAGGGUGCGUAGGUGGGUUGAUAAGUCAGUGGUGAAAUCCCCGAGCUUAACUUGGGAACUGCCGUUGAUACUAUCUGUCUUGAAUAUUGUGGAGGUGAGCGGAAUAUGUCAUGUAGCGGUGAAAUGCUUAGAUAUGACAUAGAACACCAAUUGCGAAGGCAGCUUACUACGCAGAGAUUGACGCUCAUGCACGAAAGCGUGGGGAUCAAACAGG